UGGCUGUGCCCCUCAUCUGUUAGAUA
This 26-nucleotide non-coding RNA is filed under the name Homo sapiens (human). The record is from RNAcentral. Lineage: Eukaryota; Metazoa; Chordata; Mammalia; Primates; Hominidae.